GCGAAAGCCGAAGUGGUACGAAAAUCUGCUUCUCGACAGAGAGUACGGGUUCAAGUCCCGUCGUCCGCACCA
Molecule: transfer RNA, 72 nt
Filed under: Jiella pacifica
Lineage: Bacteria; Pseudomonadati; Pseudomonadota; Alphaproteobacteria; Hyphomicrobiales; Aurantimonadaceae
Description: tRNA-Leu
Source: RNAcentral